This 409-nucleotide ribosomal RNA is filed under the name bacterium. RNAcentral's name for it is "partial 16S ribosomal RNA". It matches the Rfam family "Bacterial small subunit ribosomal RNA", at positions 355 to 776 of the family's 1533-position model. The record is from RNAcentral.
UGGGGAAUAUUGCACAAUGGGCGAAAGCCUGAUGCAGCGACGCCGCGUGAGGGAUGACGGCCUUCGGGUUGUAAACCUCUUUCAGUAGGGACGAAGCGCAAGUGACGGUACCUGCAGAAGAAGCACCGGCUAACUACGUGCCAGCAGCCGCGGUAAUACGUAGGGUGCGAGCGUUGUCCGGAAUUACUGGGCGUAAAGAGCUCGUAGGCGGGUUGUCACGUCGUCUGUGAAAUCCUAGGGCUUAACCCUGGACGUGCAGGCGAUACGGGCUGACUUGAGUACUACAGGGGAGACUGGAAUUUCUGGUGUAGCGGUGGAAUGCACAGAUAUCAGGAAGAACACCGAUGGCGAAGGCAGGUCUCUGGGUAGUAACUUACGCUGAGGAGCGAAAGCAUGGGUAGCGAACAGG